GAGUUUGAUCCUGGCUCAGAAUGAACGCUGGCGGCGUGCCUAACACAUGCAAGUCGUACGAGAAAGACUGUUUUCGGAUGGUCGAGUAAAGUGGCGCACGGGUGAGUAACGCGUAGGUAACCUACCCUUGUAUUGGGGAUAACAGGACGAAAGUUCUGCUAAUACCGGAUGUGACCUGGGGCUGGAGGGUUUCAGGUUAAAGUGGGCCUCUCGAAGGAGCUCAUGUACAGGGAUGGGCCUACGUCCUAUCAGCUUGUUGGUGGGGUAAUGGCCUACCAAGGCGACGACGGGUAGCUGGUCUGAGAGGAUGAUCAGCCACACUGGCACUGGAACACGGGCCAGACUCCUACGGGAGGCAGCAGUGAGGAAUUUUGCGCAAUGGGAGCAAUCCUGACGCAGCAACGCCGCGUGGGUGAAGAAGGCCUUCGGGUCGUAAAGCCCUGUCAGGUGGGAAGAAGGUCCUAUCAGGAAAGGGGUGGGAUUUGACGGUACCACCAGAGGAAGCACCGGCUAACUCCGUGCCAGCAGCCGCGGUAAUACGGAGGGUGCGAGCGUUAUUCGGAAUUACUGGGCGUAAAGCGCGUGUAAGCGGGGGAGCAAGUCUGAUGUGAAGCCCCGGGCUUAACCCGGGAGUGCAUUGGAAACUGUUUUUCUUGAGUACUGGAAAGAAGGGGAAUUCCCGUGUAAAGUGAA
This 693-nucleotide ribosomal RNA is filed under the name uncultured bacterium. RNAcentral describes it as "bacterial SSU rRNA". It matches the Rfam family "Bacterial small subunit ribosomal RNA", at positions 9 to 685 of the family's 1533-position model. The record is from RNAcentral.